Molecule: ribosomal RNA, 497 nt
Filed under: uncultured bacterium
Lineage: Bacteria
Description: partial 16S ribosomal RNA
Rfam family: Bacterial small subunit ribosomal RNA
Source: RNAcentral
GAUGAACGCUGGCGGCGUGCCUAAUACAUGCAGGUCGAGCGAACGGACGAGAAGCUUGCUUCUCUGAUGUUAGCGGCGGACGGGUGAGUAACACGUGGAUAACCUACCUAUAAGACUGGGAUAACUUCGGGAAACCGGAGCUAAUACCGGAUAAUAUUUUGAACCGCAUGGUUCAAAAGUGAAAGACGGUCUUGCUGUCACUUAUAGAUGGAUCCGCGCUGCAUUAGCUAGUUGGUAAGGUAACGGCUUACCAAGGCAACGAUGCAUAGCCGACCUGAGAGGGUGAUCGGCCACACUGGAACUGAGACACGGUCCAGACUCCUACGGGAGGCAGCAGUAGGGAAUAUUCCGCAAUGGGCGAAAGCCUGACGGAGCAACGCCGCGUGAGUGAUGAAGGUCUUCGGAUCGUAAAACUCUGUUAUUAGGGAAGAACAUAUGUGUAAGUAACUGUGCACAUCUUGACGGUACCUAAUCAGAAAGCCACGGCUAACUACGUG